AUGUACACAAAAGCGUCAACAAAAAUUGUAUUAAACAACAUUGCCAAAGCAUAUCGGGGUAACGUCAUUGAACAAGUUAAUGCGAUUUUCCAACUGACUACUUUUAAGACUGCGCAGCAUGGCUUUCCACACAAACCUUCAGCUCUGGCAUACGAUCCUGUUGCAAAGCUCAUGGCGAUUGGCACACAAACAGGUGCCAUAAAAGUAUUUGGUCAACCCGGAGUGGAGUUAUAUGCCCAGCAUACGUUGGUCAAUAAUUCGGCAGCGGAGCUCAAUGUUCAGUUGCUAGAGUGGGUUUACGGCACUGGCCGCAUACUUUCGUUGACAGCAGCAAAUCAGCUGAUCCUGUGGGAACCAGUAGGCACUACACUGGUACCAAUCAAAACAUUGCCGUUUGACGGAAAACUUAAGAAGGUCUCCUCGCUCUGCUGUUCCCUGAAUAAAGAUUUACUGUGGAUAGGAACGGAAGGCGGAAAUAUCUAUCAGCUCGAUUUAAAAUCUUUCACAAUACGAGAACCAGUCAUCUACCACGAUGUCGUUCUGGAGCAAGUGCCCCCGACUUACAAGCUCAAUCCAGGGGCAAUUGAGUCUAUUCGACAGCUUCCAAAUUCAUUGAAUAAACUCCUAAUUGCCUACAAUCGUGGCCUAUGCGUGCUUUGGGAUAUGCAAACAUCUGCCGUAGAGCGCGCAUACAUUGCACCGGGACAUGGACAAAGCGUGGGGCUUUCUGUUAAUUCAACUGGAACUGAAUUUAGCUGGUAUCAUGCGGACGGUUCGUACGCAACGUGGAGCAUAGAUAAUGGAGAACCGCCACAAAAUGUAAACUAUGUACCAUAUGGGCCCGAUCCUUGCAAGAGCAUUAAUCGCCUUUACAAGGGCCAGAGAGGCACCAACGACGUGAUCGUUUUUUCCGGCGGCAUGCCGCGUUCAGCGUAUGGGGAUCAUAAUUGCGUUUCAGUACAUGUCAGCGAUGGACACAAAGUAUGUCUCGACUUUACAUCUAAGGUUAUAGACUUUUUUGUUACGUACAAGGAGGGAAGUGACGACGUUGAAGUACUGAUUGUUUUGCUGGAAGAAGAGCUGUGCGCAUACGACCUGACCGACCCUAGUAUUUUGUCAAUCAAGGCUCCCUAUCUCCAUUCAGUGCAUGCGUCAGCUGUGACAUGCAACUAUCUUGCCUCUCAAGUCACCCAGGGAGUGUACGAACGUAUUUUACGAGCAGGAGAUGAACAAGAUAUCGACUACAGCAGUAUUGACUGGCCCAUCACCGGCGGCGUGUUGACCGACGAUUCAGUUGAAUCUGAUGAGGACGAAGUGGUGAAAGAUUACGAAAUACUUUUAACAGGUCACGAGGAUGGGUCGGUUAAAUUCUGGGAUUGUACUGGAGUCCUGCUUAAACCUAUAUACAAUUUUAAAACGGCAAGCAUUUUUGGGAACGAGCAUGAAUACCGGGAAGAUGGAGCUGCCGACAUAAGUGCAGAACAACUUGACGAAGGAGAACCACCAUUUCGUAAGGCUGGUUUGUUUGACCCUUACUCUGAUGACCCGCGAUUGGCCGUUAAAAAAAUAGCAUUUUGCCCCAAGACAGGCCAGUUAGUUGUGGGUGGAACUGCCGGCCAAAUUGUUAUUGCUGAUUUCGACACUGCUGCCGAGGAUCAAAGUUCUCUAAAGUAUAACUCUAUGAACUUGGUCAGCGACCGCGAUGGUUUCGUAUGGAAGGGACACGAUCAGCUCAAUGUUCGCGCCAAUUUGUUAGAGGACAAUGCAGUCCCAUUGACCGAAAAUGGGGUUAAUAUAACGGGAGUACUUCAAGUUCUUCCACCCGCAAGCAUCACUUGCAUGGCCCUGGAAGCUAAUUGGGGCCUUGUGUCCGGUGGAACAGCGCAUGGAUUAGUACUGUUUGACUUCAAAAACUUUGUUCCGGUGUUCCACCGCUGCACAUUAAAUCCAAAUGACCUAACUGGAGCUGGCGAGCAAUUGUCCCGUCGUAAGUCGUUCAAAAAAUCACUGCGAGAGUCAUUUCGAAAGCUCCGAAAGGGUCGAUCUACACGAAACAAUCCAACCAACCAGGUGCCCACUACGUUGGAAGCGCGUCCUGUUGAGAGGCAAAUAGAGGCACGUUGCACCGACGACGGCUUGGGAUCCAUGGUGCGAUGCCUACUGUUCGCUAAAACUUAUGUCACCAACGUCAACAUAACAUCGCCGACUUUGUGGUCAGCUACAAACGCUAGUACCGUUUCUGUUUUCCUCCUACACUUACCACCAGCGCAGACCGCCGCAACCACUGUACCACCCGCAAGUGGAAAUGUACCACCGCAGGCAUCCCGUCGUAUUUCUGCGCAGCUUGCAAAAGAGAUUCAGUUAAAACAUCGUGCUCCUGUUGUGGGAAUAUCUAUUUUUGAUCAGACAGGUAGCCCUGUCGAUCAAUUUAAUGCUGGAGAAAACGGUUCGCCUCCGCAUCGCCUACUGAUCGCCUCCGAAGAACAAUUCAAAGUAUUUUCGCUGCCGCAAUUAAAACCAAUAAAUAAGUACAAGUUAACGGCGAACGAAGGGGCUCGCAUACGUCGAAUUCACUUUGGAUCAUUUAGCUGUCGCAUAUCGCCGGAACUAUUGCAAAGUCUUCAUUCCGGCAGUCCAACCAAGUCCGUACGUUCCCAUGGCGAGGGCGAUGGCGCUGGAAAUGUGAGCGCUACGUCAGCUGCUGGACGCGGUGACUUGUACCAUGAGAUGGCGCUGAUUUGUCUGACUAACAUGGGAGAUAUUAUGGUUUUAUCAGUCCCUGAGCUAAAGAGACAACUGAAUGCUGCUGCCGUGCGACGUGAAGAUAUCAACGGCAUUUCUUCGCUCUGCUUCACCAAUGACGGAGAAGCUCUGUACAUGAUGUCCUCUUCAGAACUGCAGCGCAUCGCUCUCUCUACUUCUAAAGUGGUACAACCUACAGGCAUUGUGGAGGUUGAACCGUUAGAGAGUGAGGACAACGAGACCGCAUCGCUGGUGAACGACGGCAAUGAAAGCGAUAAGGAUGGCGAAGCAAAUAAAGAACUCGCAAAUACUGCCUCAGACACACAACCACCAGUGGCUACGCUACGCGCCAAACCGCUAGAGCUGAACGCUGAUAGAAGUAGUCUCCACCUAACUAACGGGAUUAGCAAUAGCAACUCACCCAACCGUGCCAAUGAGACUAUCACAAGCUCUAUAGGUGACAUCACCGUUGACUCUGUCCGCGACCAUUUAAAUACAACAACCACCACAUUGUGUUCUACAACUACAGAGGAGACUGUUGAUCUGCAACAGUAAUUGUACAACCGACACAUAAUCCAGUCCAAUUUGUAAUAUUAAAGCUGCCCACUAUUUAUUUCUACAAUCUUCACACAAUUUUAAGUGGUUUUGCAUGCCCUAUGUCGAUUAUCUGUGCUUAGCACGCAAACGAACCAAGCCACUACUACCGUGAACAUGAAGGACAUUCCCGACAUUAACAUACCUAAUUUAAU
RNAcentral lists this unclassified non-coding RNA (3491 nucleotides) under Drosophila pseudoobscura pseudoobscura. RNAcentral's name for it is "l(2)gl". The record is from RNAcentral. Lineage: Eukaryota; Metazoa; Arthropoda; Insecta; Diptera; Drosophilidae.